GGAUGUGGCUCAAGUGGUAGUGCGCUCGCCUGGCAUGCGUGAACCACUGGGUUCGAACCUCAGCACCA
Molecule: transfer RNA, 68 nt
Filed under: Marmota monax (woodchuck)
Lineage: Eukaryota; Metazoa; Chordata; Mammalia; Rodentia; Sciuridae
Description: tRNA.Ala
Source: RNAcentral